Meleagris gallopavo (turkey) is the source of this 999-nucleotide non-coding RNA. Lineage: Eukaryota; Metazoa; Chordata; Aves; Galliformes; Phasianidae. The record is from RefSeq and is a predicted model, not a curated record.
GCACUAUUCAGGGAAGUAUAGAUACAGCCAAUAAUGUCUCCAUAAAUUCUAGCCAGAAGAGUGACCUUAGUUGUCUAAGUCACUAUCUCACAAAAUAUCCAUAUUUUGUAGGCAAUGCAAAUGUUCCUUUUGGAUAGGCUUUCCAGAGCUGUGAGAAUCAAUAUAACUUUAACUGCACUUCUGUUGUUGUAGUUUUAGAACAGAUUUCUCUAAGCUCAUUUAUGACAUUGCCAGUUGUUAUGAAUCUAGAACCUAGGAGAGCUUCCCUCCUGGGAAGUACACUUAUCAUUGGAAUUGAAAGCUAAAUUCCUGUCCAUGUGUAGCUCUCUAAUAAACUUAAGUUGAGCUGCAGCUCACGUGAGACAGCAUAACAGAGGAUAGAGGGGAAGUCAGGAGGAGAAUGACAGCAUAAUGGAAGCACAGGGUUGCCAGGCAAGGAGCAAAAUGAGUUGUGCCAUCUCUACCCUGCAGCUGUGGUACCUGGGUGAAAAGGAGUGAAUCACUACUGAGCUUCAAUACAGCUAUAUUCAUCCUGUCUCAGUGCAAGAAUUAAUGAGGAUGAAGAAUGGGUCUCUGAUUUAGCUUCCCUGUUGGUGAUUGCAUUUUAAAUAUGAACAAUUUGGAAGUACAGCCCUUGAAAGCAUGCUCUCCUUAUUGCUUGAGAGAAGGCAACAAUAAAUGCUUCAGACUCUACCCAAAGUAAUUACUUUUGCUACAAUUUGCUUAAAAAGAUGCUACCUAAGGAAUCUGAAAAUUGCUUACCAGCUUAGAGACAGUCCAAAUUAAACUUUUGUUUAAGAUAGCAGAAAUAUGGCCAUGUGAAUUAGUACAAGGAAGAAAAGUCAUAUUUUGAAGUUGAACUGAUUUCUGUAGGGGCUGUUUUUGCUCAUCCUUAUCCUGACAUGGAAAACCUGAAUACUGCGCAUUCAGUAGCUGCUAUAUUUAGGCAGAGCCCUGCCUGUAUAUCUCUGCCAGUUAUUAAUGCUGUCAGGCAUGAUA